GAAAGCAAAGAAGGGCAUAUGGAGGAUGCCUAGGCUCUCGAAGGCGAAGAAGGACGUGAUAAGCUGCGAAAAGCUCCGGGGAGUGGCAAAUACACCGAGAUCCGGAGAUAUCCGAAUGGGGCAACCCGUCGAGGCUCGACCUCGACACACGCGAACGCGUGGGCGAACGUGGGGAACUGAAACAUCUAAGUACCCAUAGGAAGAGAAAAUAACAAUGAUUCCGCAAGUAGUGGCGAGCGAACGCGGAAGAGCCCAAACCGCAGGCGUAGCAAUGCGCCGUGCGGGGUUAUAGGACCGGCGCCACGAAGAACCGAAUGCUAGCCGAACCGACUGGAAAGUCGGGCCGCAGCGGGUGACAGCCCCGUAGGCGAAAGCGUUCGGCGACUCCAGCCGGCACCUGAGUAACCCGGAGCACGAGGAAUUCCGGGCGAAUUGGCGGGGACCAUCCCGUAAGGCUAAAUACUAACGAGAGACCGAUAGCGAACCAGUACCGUGAGGGAAAGGUGAAAAGAACCUCGAACAGAGGAGUGCAACAGACCCUGAAACCAUAUGCCUACAAGCGGUCGGAGCGGCUUCGUGCCGUGACGGCGUGCCUUUUGCAUAAUGAACCUACGAGUCACCGUCGUUGGCAAGGUUAAGGACAAGGAUGUCCGGAGCCGAAGCGAAAGCGAGUCCGAAGAGGGCGUCGGAGUCAGCGGAGGUGGACGCGAAACCAAGUGAUCUACCCUUGGGCAGGUUGAAGGACAGGUAAAACUGUCUGGAGGACCGAACCGGUAAGCGUUGAAAAGCUUUCGGAUGACCUGAGGGUAGGAGUGAAAGGCCAAUCAAACUUGGAGAUAGCUCGUACUCCCCGAAAUGUAUUUAGGUGCAGCCUCGGAGAGAAUCUGACGGAGGUAGAGCGACUGAUAGGAUGCGAGGGCUUCACCGCCUAUCAAGUCCUGACAAACUCCGAAUGCCGUCAGACAUAUCCGGGAGUAAGGGCGCGGGUGCUAAGGUCCGCGUCCGAGAGAGGAACAACUCAGACCAUCGGCUAAGGUCCCGAAAUCCGGGCUAAGUUGAAGACAAUAACGAGGUGGGAUUGCAUAGACAGCUAGGAUGUUGGCUUGGAAGCAGCCAUUCAUUUAAAGAGUGCGUAACAGCUCACUAGUCGAGUGAUCCCGCGUGGAUAAUAAUCGGGCAUAAGUCCGGUACCGAAGCCAUGGAAUCACGCUUUGUGCGUGAUUGGUAGGGGAGCAUUCCGUACAGCGUCGAAGGUCGGUGGCGAUGCCGGCUGGAGCGUACGGAAAAGCAAAUGUAGGUAUAAGUAACGAUAAUGGAGGCGAGAAACCUCCACGCCGAAAGACCAAGGUUUCCUGAUCAACGCUAAUCGGAUCAGGGUAAGUCGGGACCUAAGGGGCAGCCGCGAGGCGGACCCGAUGGAAGAAACGGUAAAGAUUCCGUUACUGUCGCCGGGAGUGAAGCGGGGACGGAGGAGUGACACCGCCGCGGACUGACGGAAUAGUCCGUUGAAGAGUGUAGGUAUUCGGAGGCCAGGCAAAUCCGGCCUUCGAGCUGAACUUGACAGUACUGCGAGCCUUCGGGCAAGCAGACAGCGCGGGUAAGCAGACUCCCAAGAAAAUCCGCUAAACAUAUGUCGGCGACACCCGUACCGAAACGGACACACGUGGUCGGGUAGAACAUACUAAGGCGCUCGAGAGAUUCACCGUUAAGGAACUAGGCAAAUUGACCUCGUAACUUCGGGAUAAGGGGUCCCACAGCGAUGUGGGCGCAGAGAAUAGGUCCAGGCAACUGUUUAACAAAAACACAGGGCUGUGCGAAAUUUAAAGAUGAAGUAUACAGCCUGACACCUGCCCGGUGCCGGAAGGUUAAGAGGAGAAGUCAUCGCAAGAGAAGCUUUGAAUUGAAGCCCCGGUAAACGGCGGCCGUAACUAUAACGGUCCUAAGGUAGCGAAAUUCCUUGUCGGGUAAGUUCCGACCUGCACGAAUGGUGUAAUGAUCUGGACACUGUCUCAACGGUGAGCGCGGUGAAAGGGGGGG
RNAcentral lists this ribosomal RNA (2037 nucleotides) under metagenome. Its description in RNAcentral is "bacterial LSU rRNA". It matches the Rfam family "Bacterial large subunit ribosomal RNA", at positions 15 to 2044 of the family's 2925-position model. The record is from RNAcentral.